This 110-nucleotide ribosomal RNA is filed under the name uncultured bacterium. Its description in RNAcentral is "partial 16S ribosomal RNA". It matches the Rfam family "Bacterial small subunit ribosomal RNA", at positions 1373 to 1482 of the family's 1533-position model. The record is from RNAcentral.
CCCGGGUCUUGUACACACCGCCCGUCACACCAUGGGAGUGGGAUGUACCAGAAGUAGGUAGGCUAACCGCAAGGGGGCCGCUUACCACGGUGCGUUUCGUGACUGGGGUG